GUCCAGAUGUUCUGACCUUAGUGGUAGGAUCAGACAUCAGUCGCUGCCCCAACACCCCCUGGCCUACCUGUCGUGGCUACCUACACAAAAGGACUCACUCGGGGUUCCUGAAGGGCUGGAGGAAGAGGUGGUUUGUACUGAAGCAUGAUGGUUAUCUCCUCUACUACAAGCGGAAAAAGGAUGGAGGGAGAAGGCCCAGCUGCCCAAGUACAGUCAGAGACACGAGUGGCUCGAGCCGCUGGCUCGCCACAGCUGCUCUCAGAGAGACCGUCCCAAAGCUGUCAUCAGAGCAGGGGAGGCACAGCUGAGCCUGCUGCAAAUGGAAGAGGUGCCGCCGCUCAAACCCACGCCAGAGCAGCAGCAGCACUAAGAUCCAGUCCCACCCCAACGGACCGCCCGCCAUCUUACAAAAGCCUCUUGUGUCCAGGAAGGGUCCCAGCACCAACCUUCACUCGGCUCCAUUUCUGCGCUGUGCCCACGACUCUGCACAGGCUCCCCGGGACUCGCUGUGUCCCAGCAGCCCAGCCUUUCCCGGACAGGCGACGUCCCUUCCCCAAUGGAUGUGCUGGUGUUCGCUUUAGUGCCAGAGGGACCCCCAAAGAGAUCUUGUGUUUGAGAGGCUGCCCGAGAGCCGGGCCAUCCCGACUCCUCCUUGGUAAGACGCAGACCAGAAAGACGUUCUGUUGAUUUAUUGGUGCCUUUUCAAGGGCCGCUCAUAGCCUCCUGGAUCGGGUUGUGCUAACACUCCUGCCCCUCCGCUGGGGUCAGAGUCACGAGCAUCCAGCCCAGGGUCCACGGAGGCACCCACUUCCUUGAUGGACGGGACUCCCUCCUGGAUCCCCAGGAAACUUCUGGAAGAGUAACGAGGACAUGCAAUGGGCGUGCCUCCAAGAGAAGUAGAGUGUGCAGAGAGCUUGUAGUCACUCCCAGGCCGCCAACUAGCUAGCAAGAGCUCUUGUCUUGUGCUUUGUCUGCAGUCUUCUCCCCGCGGAGCCCCUCUCUGGAAGGCUCAUCUCCCCCUUUUCUUCCAACGGUGAGUCUCUUCUGAAGCCUCCACUUCUGGAGGGGCAGCAAAGGUCAGUGCACCGCCCCCCGCCCCCCCCCCCCCCCCCCCGCCCCUCUUCCUCCAUUGAUAGACUUCAGAAGCACGUCCUCAGGCCAGACCCUCCCUCUGCAGACCCCACCUGCUUUUGAACUCCCUUUGGGGGAGGGCCAGCUCCCCGGGGAAGGGUCGCCUCUCACUUUGUGUGCCUGCGUGUCCCCAGCACUGAGCAAGUCCCUGACCCGGCAGCUUCCUGAAUGUGGGAUGGACCAGCUGCUGACGCGCACGCUCGAAUGGUGGAGAAGCAUCAGUUAUGGGGAAAGGCUGGCAGACCGCAGGCCCACGCAUGGAAGAAGCAGCGUGUGCACACGAGCCGUUCUCUCCAAAGAGCUGCCAGUUUAGUCUAGAGUAAAAAUGCCUUGUAAAGUCCCGGAGAGAAGGACUGCGGAGCGCCAGGAAGAGUAGCGGCAGCUCCUGAACAAAGAGAAAUAGCGUCCAAUUGAGCACCGAUUUCAUUCUGAUAGAGAGAUUGGUCCUCGUGGCAAAAUACCUGUAAAGCCCGACUUUCCGUGAAGGUUGGCCAUCUCUCUGCCCUUAGC
Molecule: long non-coding RNA, 1641 nt
Filed under: Monodelphis domestica (gray short-tailed opossum)
Lineage: Eukaryota; Metazoa; Chordata; Mammalia; Didelphimorphia; Didelphidae
Description: lncRNA (ENSMODG00000043795.1)
Source: RNAcentral